This 369-nucleotide ribosomal RNA is filed under the name Triticum aestivum (bread wheat). Its description in RNAcentral is "partial small subunit ribosomal RNA". Lineage: Eukaryota; Viridiplantae; Streptophyta; Magnoliopsida; Poales; Poaceae. The record is from RNAcentral.
AUGCGGAAGAAGGAAUGCGAUACUUUUUUGUCGUGCAAAAAUACAACCGAUCGAAGCAGUUGGAACGUCGUCCGAUGGUUCCAAGAGUCACGGCAAUCAGACGCCUGUGGGAGUAAUAUACCAGAAUUUGCUCAUUUUCAGGUUUUUUGUUAUUGUGUAUCCAUGGUAUUAAUUAGACCUAGCCAUUGGACGCAAUAUAUGGGUACCGUGGAGACAUUGUAUGUUCAACGUGACUCUGUGCACAUGGUCAUGGUAUGGCACGUUCCACUAGAUGAGGUAUCAGUCACGGCUCCUCCUAUUGAUUUUUUGUCGAAAAGGACCGGUUGCCGAACACAUUUGACAGAAAGGACUACCUGCAGAUAUAAAUGA